RNAcentral lists this ribosomal RNA (504 nucleotides) under uncultured bacterium. RNAcentral describes it as "partial 16S ribosomal RNA". It matches the Rfam family "Bacterial small subunit ribosomal RNA", at positions 30 to 523 of the family's 1533-position model. The record is from RNAcentral.
AUUGAACGCUGGCGGCAUGCCUUACACAUGCAAGUCGAACGGCAGCAUGGAGAGCUUGCUCUCUGAUGGCGAGUGGCGAACGGGUGAGUAAUGCAUCGGAACGUACCGUGUAAUGGGGGAUAACGUAGCGAAAGUUACGCUAAUACCGCAUACGACCUGAGGGUGAAAGCAGGGGAUCGCAAGACCUUGCGUUAUACGAGCGGCCGAUGUCAGAGUAGCUAGUUGGUGAGGUAAAGGCUCACAAAGGAGACGAUCUGUAGCGGGUCUGGGAGGAUGAUCCGCCACACUGGGACUGAGACACGGCCCAGACUCCUACGGGAGGCAGCAGUGGGGAAUUUUGGACAAUGGGGGCAACCCUGAUCCAGCCAUGCCGCGUGAGUGAAGAAGGCCUUCGGGUUGUAAAGCUCUUUCGGCCGGGAAGAAAUCGCACAGGCUAAUACUCUGUGUGGAUGACGGUACCGGCAUAAGAAGCACCGGCUAACUACGUGCCAGCCGCCGCCGUAA